GCUUGUCUCGAAGAUUAAGCCAUGCAAGCCCAGAAUAAGCAUAUUCACGGCGAAUCUGCGAACGGCUCAUUAAAUCAGUCAUAGUUUAUUUGAUAGUCCCUACCACAUGGAUAACCGUGGUAAUUCCCCGGCUAAUACAUGCACUAAAGGGUGGUUUACGCCACUUGUAUUUAUUAGGUAAACCAGGGUAGCGGAGGAUUAGGGUCUGACUCCGGAGAGGGAGCUUUAGAAACGGCCGCCACUUCCAAGGAAGGCAGCAGGCGCGCAAAUUACCCAAUUCCGUUUUGGAGAGGUAGUGAAGACAAAUAACAAUGUGUGGCUCAACGAGUCGCACAAUUGGAAUGCAAGAACAUUAAAUUCUUUCUAGUACAAUUGAAGGGUAAGUCUGGUGCCAGCAGCCGCGGUAAUACCAGCUUCAAUAGCGUAUGUUAAAUUUGCUGCAGUUAAAAAGCUCGUAGUUGGAUUUCAGCGUGAGGACGGGCGGUCCUGGAAACAGAGUACUGCACACAAACCGGCUUCACGCUUCCUUCUGGCAGCGCUAUGUUCACUCUUCAGUGAGUGGGUGUAGUGACUCCGGAUCGGUUACUUUGAACAAAUUAGAGUGUUUAAAGCAGGCGUUUGCCUUGAAUACGUUAGCAUGGAAUAACAAAAUGGGCUUUGACUGUCAUUUUGUUGGUUCAGAUGGUCAAGGAAUGAUUAAUAGGGAUAGUUGGGGGCAUCAAAAUUUUGGAGCUAGAGGUGAAAUUCUUAGAUUUCCGAAAGAUUAACUUCUGCGAAAGCGUUUGCCAAGUAUAUUCUCAUUAAUCAAGAACGAAAGUUAGGGGAUCGAAGACGAUCAGAUACCGUCGUAGUCUUAACCAUAAACGAUGCCGACUAGGGAUCCGGGGAAAUUCGAUUUGAUGACUCCCUGGGCACCUUCCGAGAAAUCAAAGUCUUUGGGUUUUGGGGGGAGUAUGGUCGCAAGGCUGAAACUUAAAGGAAUUGACGGAAGGGCACACCAGGAGUGGAGCCUGCGGCUUAAUUUGACCCAACACGGGAAAAC
This 1042-nucleotide ribosomal RNA is filed under the name uncultured soil eukaryote. RNAcentral's name for it is "SSU rRNA". It matches the Rfam family "Eukaryotic small subunit ribosomal RNA", at positions 30 to 1214 of the family's 1831-position model. The record is from RNAcentral.